CCUACGGGGGGCAGCAGUGGGGAAUAUUGCACAAUGGGCGAAAGCCUGAUGCAGCAACGCCGCGUGAAGGAAGAAGGGUUUCGGCUCGUAAACUUCUAUCAACAGGGACGAAAGAAAUGACGGUACCUGAAUAAGAAGCCCCGGCUAACUACGUGCCAGCAGCCGCGGUAAUACGUAGGGGGCAAGCGUUAUCCGGAAUUACUGGGUGUAAAGGGUGAGUAGGCGGCAUGGUAAGCCAGAUGUGAAAGCCUUGGGCUUAACCCGAGGAUUGCAUUUGGAACUAUCAAGCUAGAGUACAGGAGAGGAAAGCGGAAUUCCUAGUGUAGCGGUGAAAUGCGUAGAGAUCAAGAGGAAUACUCAUUGCGAAGGCGACCUGCUAGAACAUAACUGACGCUGAUGCGCGAAAGCGUGGGGAGCAAACAGGAUUAGAUACCCGAGUAGUC
This 443-nucleotide ribosomal RNA is filed under the name uncultured bacterium. Its description in RNAcentral is "partial 16S ribosomal RNA". It matches the Rfam family "Bacterial small subunit ribosomal RNA", at positions 338 to 795 of the family's 1533-position model. The record is from RNAcentral.